UAGCCCACAUGUGGUCCAGAAACAACUUUAGGCUGGCCAUUUAGAACCUAUGCUCAGUCCUUGGAACACACCCAUCUUUAUAUUUAAGAAAAAAAUCUGGCAAUUGGGGAUUAUUACAAGAUCUCAGGGCAAUUAAUCAUGUUAUUGAGCCCAUGGGAGCCUUACAAUCAGGGCUUCCUUCCCCAGUAGCCAUCCCUUUAAAUUAUCAUUUAAUAGUAAUAGAUUUAAAAUAUUGUUUCUUUUCUAUACAUUUUCACCCUGACAACUAUAAAAGUUUGCCUUCAG
This 285-nucleotide small RNA is filed under the name Marmota monax (woodchuck). Lineage: Eukaryota; Metazoa; Chordata; Mammalia; Rodentia; Sciuridae. The record is from RNAcentral.